ACAGCAGUAGCCACGGGAAUACGGAGGGUGCAAGCGUUAUCCGGAUUCACUGGGUUUAAAGGGUGCGUAGGUGGAUCUGUAAGUCAGUGGUGAAAUCUCCAGGCUUAACCUGGAAACUGCCGUUGAUACUAUAGGUCUUGAAUUUUGUGGAGGUUAGCGGAAUAUGUCAUGUAGCGGUGAAAUGCAUAGAUAUGACAUAGAACACCAAUUGCGAAGGCAGCUGGCUACACAACUAUUGACGCUGAGGCACGAAAGCGUGGGGAUCAAACAGGAUUAGAUACCCGGGUAGUCCCUGUCUCUUAUAC
RNAcentral lists this ribosomal RNA (305 nucleotides) under uncultured bacterium. Its description in RNAcentral is "partial 16S ribosomal RNA". It matches the Rfam family "Bacterial small subunit ribosomal RNA", at positions 505 to 807 of the family's 1533-position model. The record is from RNAcentral.